Molecule: ribosomal RNA, 433 nt
Filed under: uncultured bacterium
Lineage: Bacteria
Description: partial 16S ribosomal RNA
Rfam family: Bacterial small subunit ribosomal RNA
Source: RNAcentral
AACGAACGCUGGCGGCAUGCCUAACACAUGCAAGUCGAACGAGACCUUCGGGUCUAGUGGCGCACGGGUGCGUAACGCGUGGGAACCUGCCCUUAGGUUCGGAAUAACUCCCCGAAAGGGGUGCUAAUACCGGAUAAUGUCUUCGGACCAAAGAUUUAUCGCCUUUGGAUGGGCCCGCGUUGGAUUAGCUAGUUGGUAGGGUAAAAGCCUACCAAGGGGACGAUCCAUAAGUGGUCUGAGAGGAUGAUCAGCCACACUGGGACCGAGACACGGCCCAGACUCCUACGGGAGGCAGCAGUGGGGAAUAUUGGACAAUGGGCGAAAGCCUGAUCCAGCAAUGCCGCGUGAGUGAUGAAGGCCUUAGGGUUGUAAAGCUCUUUUACCCGGGAUGAUAAUGACAGUACCGGGAGAAUAAGCUCCGGCUAACUCCGUG